Molecule: unclassified non-coding RNA, 201 nt
Filed under: plant metagenome
Description: partial contains small subunit ribosomal RNA, internal transcribed spacer 1, and 5.8S ribosomal RNA
Source: RNAcentral
UCUCCGUAGGUGAACCAGCGGAGGGAUCAUUAUUGAGUUUAUAAUUUCCAAACCCUAUGUGAACUUACCACUUGUUGCUUCAGCGCGCGCUUCGUUGCUGUCGAGGACACUUAAACUCUUUGUUUUUAUAAGCAUUUCUGAGUGGCCGAAAGGCAAAAUACAAAUGAAUCAAAACUUUCAACAACGGAUCUCUUGGUUCUG